AGGAUAUUGGGCAAUGGGCGCAAGCCUGACCCAGCGACGCCGCAUGGGCGAAGAAGGCCUUCGGGUCGUAAAGCCCUUUUCUGCCGGACGAGCGAGGACGGUACGGCAGGAAUCAGUCACGGCUAACUACGUGCCAGCAGCCGCGGUAAAACGUAGGUGGCAAGCGUUAUCCGGAAUCACUGGGCGUAAAGGGCAUCUAGGCGGUCGGGCAAGUUGCGUGUGAAAGCCUCCGGCUCAACCGGGGGAGGACAUGCAAAACUGCCGGGCUAGAGGGUCGGAGAGGGACGCGGAAUUCCCGGUGUAGUGGUGAAAUGCGUAGAGAUCGGGAGGAACACCCGUGGCGAAGGCGGCGUCCUGGCCGACACCUGACGCUGAAGUGCGAAAGCGUGGGGAGCAAACGGGAUUAGAUACCCCGGUAGUCCACGCUGUAAACGAUGGUGACUAGGUGUGGGGGGCAUAACACCCCUCCGUGCCGUAGCUAACGCGAUAAGUCACCCGCCUGGGGACUACGGCCGCAAGGCUA
Molecule: ribosomal RNA, 523 nt
Filed under: uncultured bacterium
Lineage: Bacteria
Description: bacterial SSU rRNA
Rfam family: Bacterial small subunit ribosomal RNA
Source: RNAcentral